RNA transcript from Gossypium arboreum, 1295 nucleotides. RefSeq lists it as uncharacterized. The record is from RefSeq and is a predicted model, not a curated record. The transcript has 5 exons. Lineage: Eukaryota; Viridiplantae; Streptophyta; Magnoliopsida; Malvales; Malvaceae.
AAAUCAUUUUUAAAUACCAUUAUUUUAAAUUUAAAAGGAUUAAAUUGGAUUACUUUUCAAACGAUGGUGCGACUAUAAAAGCAAAAGAAAGACAUCGCGCGGACUGUUGAAGAAGUGGUCAAAGCGGCGGAGUAAAUAGACAGAGAUGGCAGUUCGAACAUUGACAGGCAGUGGUAGUGAGGGAACCUUCCGCUCGUAUAAAACUGAAACCUUGGAGGCUGCCUUCAAACUUUCAGAUCAUCAGUUUCUUUCUUCAUUUUGUUCUUAGCUAAAGGAAAUGACUUGAAGAAAACAGUGUCCGCCGCAAAUGGAGGGUAUAGAUGGUGCUGAAGGAGAGGAGAUUGAGGCCCAAAGCCAGAAACAGAAAACUCAAGCUGAGAAGCAGAGACAUAAUGCGAGCUGUAGAUGGUCUCGACUAAAAAAGAAAAUGAUGCAUUUGGAACGAGACCAAGAGUUCUUAAAAUUGCAAGCUAAUCACAAAAGGACCAAAAUGGAGCUGAAGUACCAAGCUAAAAAGGGAAUCGAGUACCAUGGAAAGCUCCAAUCUUUGAAAGAUGAUAACCAAAUACUAAGGACAGACCUUCACACCAUGAAAGUAGAGUUGGAAAGGACGAGGCAAAUCUCCGUUGCAUUGAUGGCCUUCUAUGCCAUAGAUAGUUUGCGUCGCAAAAUUAUGCGGGAUGUGGUCAAGUUUCAAGAGCUUCUGGAACUGGUUUAUAGAAUGUUAUUGGAUUGGUGGGAUCAGUACCGGUUCCAACAAUCACCUUUCAACCUUCCAUGGUUGAUUUUGAUCAGAAAAUGAGCCACGCCUUGAUUACAUUGCUCAGUGUUUGUAUUAAUAGACUUGUAACAUGUUCGCAGACCAAGACAACACCAGUAUAACUGCCUUUACUGCUACUGGUCCCGCAUAUACUGGUAAUCAUGUUGGUUCCUCUGCUGCAGGAGUUCCGACUAUUACUGGCUCCUCGCCGGGUGCAAAUCCUACUUUGGUGUUUGGUUCCACAAAUAAUAAUGAGAAAGAUGGUGAUCUUUUCAGCUUUGUUAAAUUCCAUCAUCAGAAUUAGUUUGGAGAUGGUCUUCAUAAGACUCCAUAGAAGCACAACAUUAAUCCAUCUUAGGUCUCAUCUACGUGUUGUCUGAGAUUAUCCGGCCAUGUUUCCUUCUAUUGCUAGUUGCUGCGCUUUUAUGUUGAUGGUGUAUUUUGAUUGAUCUCAAGUUUGUUUAUGUUGCAAGAGAGGCUUGAUUACUCAAUUACCAAUUUAUCAAAUGUACUAUCAAGUAAUCUUCGUCUUGAU